GAUGAACGCUGGCGGCGUGCCUAAUACAUGCAAGUCGAGCGAACAGAUCCGGCGCUUGCUCCUUUCUCGUUAGCGGAGGACGGGUGAGUCACACGUGGGUACCCUACCUAUCAUACUGGGAUAACUUCGGAACAGCGGCGCUAAUACCAGAUAACCUUUGGCACCGCGUGGUUCUUAGGAGAGUGAUGGUUGUGCUAUCACUUCUAGCUGCACACGCGCCGUAUUAGCUAGUUGGUAAGGUCACGGCUUACGACGGCGACGAUAGGUAGCCGACCUGAGAGAGGGAUCGGCCACACUGGAGCGGAGACACGGUCCAGGCUCCUACGAGAGGCAGCAGUAUGGAACCUGACGCAAUGGGCGAAAGCCUUACGGAGCAACGCGGAGUGAGUGAUGAAGGGGUUCGGUUCGUAAAACUCGGUUAUUAGGGAAGAACAAACGUGUAAGGAACUGUGCAGGGAUUGACGGUGCCUAAUCAGAAAGCCACGGCUAACUACGUG
RNAcentral lists this ribosomal RNA (497 nucleotides) under uncultured bacterium. RNAcentral describes it as "partial 16S ribosomal RNA". It matches the Rfam family "Bacterial small subunit ribosomal RNA", at positions 28 to 507 of the family's 1533-position model. The record is from RNAcentral.